AUACUUCCCUGGCAGGGGAGAUACCAUGAUCAUGGAGGUGGUUUUCGCAGGGCAAGGCUUAUCCAUUGCACUUCAGAUGUGCUCACCCUGUGAUUUCCCUAAAUGUGGGAAACUUGACUGCAUCUUUUCUGGUAGUGGGGGACUGUAAAAAAAUGAUGAAAAGAAAAUAUAGGGGUUGCCCAUA
RNAcentral lists this small nuclear RNA (184 nucleotides) under Dasypus novemcinctus (nine-banded armadillo). RNAcentral describes it as "U1 spliceosomal RNA (ENSDNOG00000047365.1)". It matches the Rfam family "U1 spliceosomal RNA". Rfam says of the family: U1 is a small nuclear RNA (snRNA) component of the spliceosome (involved in pre-mRNA splicing). Its 5' end forms complementary base pairs with the 5' splice junction, thus defining the 5' donor site of an intron. The record is from RNAcentral. Lineage: Eukaryota; Metazoa; Chordata; Mammalia; Cingulata; Dasypodidae.